AGAAAGAAGGAUGGGGAAAGAGAAUGAAGUGUUAAACCGGGGAAGGUCACCUCCCUCACAGCUGCAGCAACAGGAGGUCCUCCUGGGACCAGCAGAGCAAGCUGCGUUGCUUGCAUGGAGUUCAUGGUCUCCCAAAGGAGCCCUGGGGGGCAAGUGUCAUAGAGGGGAUCUCUGUGGAGAUGCAAUGACUGUAUGUUGCUUUGAGUUUGUAUAAACUUCAUCACUGCUUGGUCCAUAGGUUGCUCCUGCAAUAACAUGACAGGUGUGAGCAGCAUUCUGGGGGCUGACAGGAUCUGGGGGGAGCCCAUGGCACAAUUGUUUCAGGCAUGGAUGGGGCUGGAGAACCUUUAAUGGCACAGAGGCUUCAUCAGCCUCCACCAGCCUUCUGAGAAGGCCCUCUCAUCAGAAAGCAUGCCUCUAGGUCCCUGUCACUUGCAUUGCACCAUCCUGCUGGUUCUCCUCUCUCCCAGAGCUGUAGUCAUUUAAAACAGUAUUUAUCCCUGUUUUCCUUUAAACAGGUCAUGUCCCUCUGGCUGUCUUCUCUUCUGCAUUCAAUAAGGACAACUGUGAACAACUCCUGUCCACAGGGAAUAGCAGAAUAUCACCAAGUCAAGAUUUUUCUGCUUCAAGAUUUGUGGUGAGGCUUCUUGCUACAUAUUCCCACUGCCUUCAAGGAAGUUAAAUGAGAUCGUUCAUACAUCAUCACUAAACAGUCAUCUCCUGUGCACAAAUCCGCAUGAAUUCCCAUUCCACAAAUGGUUUCAAUAAGGCAGAUUCUGCAGUAACAUAAAUUGCUGUCAGACGAUGCUUGGAGGACAUGGCCAAGACUUGAGCAUCUCCCCAGGACCUGUAAAACAUUCAGCACCAUUUGUUACAGUGGGGACGAUGUAUCCGAAUAAAACGACAGGCAUUUUAUCAGGCUGGGAGAAUAAAAUCACUUCAGGAACCAG
Molecule: long non-coding RNA, 950 nt
Organism: Pezoporus occidentalis (night parrot)
Lineage: Eukaryota; Metazoa; Chordata; Aves; Psittaciformes; Psittacidae
Exons: 2
Source: RefSeq, a predicted model, not a curated record